Non-coding RNA from Podarcis lilfordi (Lilford's wall lizard), 114 nucleotides. The record is from the annotation of a GenBank genome assembly. NCBI's taxonomy places the organism in Eukaryota, Metazoa, Chordata, Lepidosauria, Squamata, Lacertidae.
CCAUCGAUAGCCCACUUCUCUAUGAUAGCAGGUAAUGGGUUACACCAAAACAUGUCAGUAGAGCAUGAGACUCUUAAUCUCAGGGUUGUGGGUUUGAGCCCCACAUUGGGUGAA